Long non-coding RNA from Brassica napus (rape), 1442 nucleotides. RefSeq lists it as uncharacterized. The record is from RefSeq and is a predicted model, not a curated record. NCBI's taxonomy places the organism in Eukaryota, Viridiplantae, Streptophyta, Magnoliopsida, Brassicales, Brassicaceae. The transcript is spliced from 3 exons.
UGUCUCCUCCUCUUAUAUGAAUCCUUUUGUAGACAAGCCUGCUAUGUUGUUUACUCCUCUUGCAAUUUUAGUUUUUUUUGUGCCCGUCGAAGCCAUGGCCUCAAAUCCAGACGGAUCAAAAUUAAUUAUCGUCAUGAAUCAGUGUUGUCUUCCACUACCUCCAUACAUAAGCUGAUGACUCCUUCCAGAGUUAAGACUUAUCCUCCCAGCAGGUUUCCGCCGGCUGACCUACGUGGCUGAGAAGCGUCUCCGGCGAAGCUAUACUCGGUCGAGUUCAAUUUCGAUCCGAUACUUUUGAAAAGGUUAAAAUUAAGUUUCUCUUAUACUUUCAUCUCUUUAGAGUUUUGAUUGGGUACUGUCUGCAAUCUAGAGAUUGAUUUCAGAUUUUUCCCUUUUAAUAGCAACAACGAAAGGUAAAGGGAGCGAAAAGCAUGAACAUACCACAUGGUAAAACUUUUGAUUUUCUUCUGAAUUUUCUAAUAAUGUGAUAAAAUCUCAGUUUUUGGUUUAAGCCAGCGCACAUGGUUUUCAUGGACAGAGAUUAUACGAAGAAGAAAGUUCGAAGCUUAGUAGCUGAGUCUUCGAAGUUUCUGUACGCCAUUCCGGUGACUAAGACAAGAGCAUUCUGUGAGGUUCUCUCUAUUGUCUCUUCUCCCCUGCUAUUAAUAAUUGUAUCACAAACAGUUUGGCUCUGUUUAGCUGGAAUCACUUCAUGUGAUUCACUUGCAGGAGACAUGCCUGGCCUCAAAAGAUGUCAUGUCCUUUGAUUUGCUAAAAAAGAAGCUCAUGUUAAGAUUAGAUACACUUGGUAUAAAGACUAUCAAAGAGGUCAUUGUUAAUUCUCGAAUAAACUACAUGGAUGGUCAUAUAUCCCAGUCGGUGGUUCCUUGCCACACACUAAACAAAAGAAUCUUGCCCUUUGGUGUUGCAGCUAGAAUGGUACAUCCCUCAACAGUUAUAGCAGGUUAUUCAGUUGUGGCCUCUUUGUUUGAAGAUCCAGAUUACGCAUCAGACAUAUAGGAUAUACUAAAACAUGAUAUUACUUCCUUCACCAAACACAUCAACAUCAAUAUUUCAACACAAGGUGAUCUCUCCUUGACCAACUGAGUUUAUAGCUUUCGGAAAAUUAUAAAACAUUUUAUGAACUUCCCUUUUUUGGGUACCUUGGAUAAUUUACGGCAACAAGAAAGGAAACGAGAAAGAGCAUUAUUUCUCUUCGACGUUGCACACAUGCUUCAUCUUAGGCUUUAGAAGCUUCUUCCACAUUUUCUUCUGCCUUCCAUAAUGGUAAGGCAUCCCAUAUCUUAAGACAUUGAUUUGAUUCAGAUAACAAAAAAUGUAUGGAAAAUCAAGAUCAUUUCACUUGCUCAGGGGGUUUAUAGAAUCAACAUUAUCAUGCCGUUGUAGUAAUCGUUUAGUAAAUGUAGUGUAUUUUGUCUAAA